This 244-nucleotide ribosomal RNA is filed under the name uncultured Actinomycetales bacterium. Its description in RNAcentral is "partial 16S ribosomal RNA". It matches the Rfam family "Bacterial small subunit ribosomal RNA", at positions 89 to 334 of the family's 1533-position model. The record is from RNAcentral. Lineage: Bacteria; Bacillati; Actinomycetota; Actinomycetes; Actinomycetales.
GCUCGAGUGGCGAACGGGUGAGUAACACGUGAGUAACCUGCCCUUGACUUUGGGAUAACUUCAGGAAACUGGGGCUAAUACCGGAUAGGAGCUCCUGCUGCAUGGUGGGGGUUGGAAAGUUUCGGCGGUUGGGGAUGGACUCGCGGCCUAUCAGCUUGUUGGUGGGGUAGUGGCUUACCAAGGCUUUGACGGGUAGCCGGCCUGAGAGGGUGACCGGCCACAUUGGGACUGAGAUACGGCCCAG